Molecule: ribosomal RNA, 429 nt
Filed under: Verrucomicrobiota bacterium
Lineage: Bacteria; Pseudomonadati; Verrucomicrobiota
Description: Verrucomicrobia bacterium partial 16S ribosomal RNA
Rfam family: Bacterial small subunit ribosomal RNA
Source: RNAcentral
UAGGGAAUCUUCGGCAAUGGGGGGAACCCUGACCGAGCAACGCCGCGUGAGUGCAGAAGGUUUUCGGAUCGUAAAGCUCUGUUGUUAAGGAAGAACGAGUGUGAGAAUGGAAAGUUCAUGCUGUGACGGUACUUAACCAGAAAGGGACGGCUAACUACGUGCCAGCAGCCGCGGUAAUACGUAGGUCCCGAGCGUUGUCCGGAUUUAUUGGGCGUAAAGCGAGCGCAGGCGGUUAGAAAAGUCUGAAGUGAAAGGCAGUGGCUCAACCAUUGUAGGCUUUGGAAACUGUUUAACUUGAGUGCAGAAGGGGAGAGUGGAAUUCCAUGUGUAGCGGUGAAAUGCGUAGAUAUAUGGAGGAACACCGGUGGCGAAAGCGGCUCUCUGGUCUGUAACUGACGCUGAGGCUCGAAAGCGUGGGGAGCGAACAGG